GUAGGGAAUCUUCCACAAUGGACGAAAGUCUGAUGGAGCAACGCCGCGUGAGUGAAGAAGGUUUUCGGAUCGUAAAACUCUGUUGUUAGAGAAGAACGUGUGUGAGAGUAACUGCUCAUGCAGUGACGGUAUCUAACCAGAAAGCCACGGCUAACUACGUGCCAGCAGCCGCGGUAAUACGUAGGUGGCAAGCGUUGUCCGGAUUUAUUGGGCGUAAAGGGAACGCAGGCGGUUUUUUAAGUCUGAUGUGAAAGCCUUCGGCUUAACCGAAGUCAUGCAUUGGAAACUGAAAGACUUGAGUGCAGAAGAGGAGAGUGGAACUCCAUGUGUAGCGGUGAAAUGCGUAGAUAUAUGGAAGAACACCAGUGGCGAAAGCGGCUCUCUGGUCUGUAACUGACGCUGAGGUUCGAAAGUGUGGGUAGCAAACAGGAUUAGAUACCCUAGUAGUCC
Molecule: ribosomal RNA, 450 nt
Filed under: uncultured bacterium
Lineage: Bacteria
Description: bacterial SSU rRNA
Rfam family: Bacterial small subunit ribosomal RNA
Source: RNAcentral